GAGGAGUCAUUUGGUGACUUUUGAGUGAAAUCCAAUGGCUAAAACUAUGCAAUACAGUAACCACUCCAUUUCAGAACGAACUUCGUACGAACCUGAAUUGUCCAAUUUCGUGGACCAAUCGAUAUCGAAUUGAGUACACUAACCCCUCCAUUUUAGAACAAACUUCGUACAAACCUGAAUUGUCCAAUUCAUGGACCAAUCAAUAUCGAAUUGAGUCCAAAAUGUGGG
RNAcentral lists this long non-coding RNA (228 nucleotides) under Prunus persica (peach). RNAcentral describes it as "long non-coding RNA (PPER_LNC003393)". Lineage: Eukaryota; Viridiplantae; Streptophyta; Magnoliopsida; Rosales; Rosaceae. The record is from RNAcentral.